GAUGAACGCUAGCGGGAGGCUUAACACAUGCAAGCCGAGGGAGAAGUUGUUUUCGGACAACGGACACCGGCGGACGGGUGAGUAACAUGUAUGCAACUUGCCUCUAUCAGUGGGAUAACCCGGGGAAACCCGGACUAAUACCGCAUAACAAAUGGAUCAGCAUUGAUUUAUUUUAAAAGAUUUAUCGGAUAGAGAUAGGCAUGCGUAGGAUUAGUUAGUUGGUGAGGUAACGGCUCACCAAGACGAUGAUCCUUAGGGGGCCUGAGAGGGUGAUCCCCCAACCGGGUAGUGGGACACGAGCCAGAAUCCUACGGGGGGCAGAAGUGGGGAAUGUUGGACAAGGGGUGAGAGCCUGAACCAGCCAUCCCGCGGGCAGGAAAACGGCCCUAUGGGUUGAAAACUGCUUUUAUACAGGAAAAAACCUACUCACGUGGGGGUAGUUAAAGGUACUGAAAGAAAAAGCAUCGGCAAACUCCGG
Molecule: ribosomal RNA, 478 nt
Filed under: uncultured bacterium
Lineage: Bacteria
Description: partial 16S ribosomal RNA
Rfam family: Bacterial small subunit ribosomal RNA
Source: RNAcentral